AAGGUAGUAGUAUAACCUGGCUAGUAUGGGGGACUGUGGAUCCCUUGGUCCGGGUUCAAAUCCCGGCUACCUUCCCA
This 77-nucleotide transfer RNA is filed under the name Candidatus Woesearchaeota archaeon. RNAcentral describes it as "tRNA-His". It matches the Rfam family "tRNA". Rfam says of the family: Transfer RNA (tRNA) molecules are approximately 80 nucleotides in length. Their secondary structure includes four short double-helical elements and three loops (D, anti-codon, and T loops). The record is from RNAcentral. Lineage: Archaea; Nanobdellati; Candidatus Woesearchaeota.